This is a long non-coding RNA of Gasterosteus aculeatus aculeatus (three-spined stickleback), 4879 nucleotides long. NCBI's taxonomy places the organism in Eukaryota, Metazoa, Chordata, Actinopteri, Perciformes, Gasterosteidae. The record is from Ensembl.
UUCCUUUCCCUGUUGCUUUCAUGGUGGACGAGGCUGAUGGAAUUUCAUUACUUAUGAUUGAAAACCAAUGGAGUUUUGAAAGCAGAAAGAGAUGGAAAGGUGCACUCAAAAUGCCAGUAUACCCUCCAGAUGCUAGCAAUCUAAUUUCCUGUCAGCGGUAAUAAAUGGGGAGCCACCCGAUGGCAAAGAUAAGAUGCUAUUUCACCAUCAGGGUUAUCACUUAAUACCUGAUCAUGUCUGUGGGGAGCAGUUGUAUCCGACAGUUAAAACAGGGGGCCUCAACUCCUGGCACGAGAAAUGAUCAUCAGUGUGGAAGAACUGUUAAUCUGUCAAAUCAAUGUGACUUCACUCCAUAGAGAGUUCAUGAAAGGGAUUUGAGUCGUCCCGCUGUGUUAAUGAUUUUCUUUUUAAUGAAACCGGACAGCUCUGCACGUUGUUAUUUUAAAAGGUGUUAUGCAGAUAAGACUUCUUAUCUUGUAAAAUAAUACAUUUCAAAUGUAGUUUGUGUGUAACUGUGUGUUCGAUUAAACAAUUUCCUCUGCGUUUUUUGAGGAAGUGUUUGAAGGGGGAAUGUUACUUGGGUAGAUUCCUUAAGACAAAGUAAGAUGAGGAUGGAAAGUAAUUGCAAUGAACAAAUGCUGACUCAUUUACCAAAACAGCCAGAGCUGCCGUUCCUGAAACAUACUCGGGAUAUUGUUACAAUGAGAAAUGCUUGUAUGGUGGAGCACUUGAGCGUGGGAGUUUACACAAGACGUGGUUCAUAACAUAACGUGUGUUCAGCUAUAGUGAAACCAUGACAGACAGACAAUAAUACACGCUUUGUCUCCCCAGUCCGGAUAAAUCCAUCUGAAAGCAAUUACAGUCCACCGGCCAAUUGUCAAAAAAACCCAAAGAGGCAUCGAUCAUCAUGGGGAAAGGGGAGAGCGACGACUGGGAUGAGAAGCACGGGGACACGAGGCAGACUCAGCCUCGCAAACAGGAGGAGACUGAGGGUUCAAGCUCAGGUAGACAAAGGGGGAACUGGUAGAUUGACAGGAGACGUGGUUUUGAGAAUGUGAUUGACCAAACAUCAAGGCAGUAGAACAUGUGAGACUCGGGAUGUUGUUACUGUGAGAAAUGCUUGUAUUGUCGAGCAGUUGAGCGUGAGAGUUUACAAUAACAAACGCUUUGUCUUCCCAGUUUGGAUAAAUCCAUCCGAACGCAAUUACAGACUACCGGCCAAUUUUCAAAAAGAAGUCAAUGAAGCGUCGGUCAUCAUGGAAAGAUGGGAGAGUGACCAGGGGCCCCCGAUACAGACUCAGCCUCGCGAACACAAGGAGAAGCCAAGACAAUGUUGCAUGUGCUGCUUGAAGUGUCUGUCCACCGAGGAGGUUGUGGAAUCCUGCUGCUCGGGCUUAUGUGAAUGUUUAAUCAGUCUUUGUUCCGAAGAGUGAAUCUCUUUUUGUAAGUAUAUAAAAGUAUAUAAAAAAGGGAAAAAAACUAUUAAAACAAUUUCCUGCUUGGAUGAGUUGGAAUUUAUGCAAAUACAAAAAUGUAACCCCAACAUUUUAAAUGGUGGACGCGGGUUAUUUUGCGUCUUUCUAGCUUUGUAAAUACACUGCAGUUAAAAUUCGAGCACUUCAGCGUGUGACAUGAUGUGACAAUAUUUUUUUUUAUCAGUUAUAAUAUUUUCUUUCUCAUUUUAAUUGCAGAACCUGACCUUGAACAUCUGGACCAGAUUUCCCAGGCUGCGUUGAAUCUCAGCGUCCGCCAGCGGCUUUAGUGUGAUUUAUGCCAUUUGGAGAUGAAAAAAUUACCUUUCAGUCACUUUGAUGAGCUAAUAAACUUUAUACCUCAAUCCAGGAGUCAUUUAUUCACCCAAAUCGCUAUAUCUGUAUAAAACUAAAAAGAUCAUUUUCAUAAAUUCAUUUUUGUGACGGUCUAAAAAUAUUUAUCUAAUAUAGAUAAAUAUGUAAUACAUAUCUGUCCAAAAUGUAAGGGGGGGACAUUUUAGCCAAUUUUGAAGAAAUUGUCUCAAGGGAUUGCCGAGAUAUCACGAGAAUGAACUGGACUGACGACUCCAAAACCCAAAAGUCUGUCGCCGACAUGGAGGAUUAUAAACAAGUGAACCUGACGACGUGUAGAGGAAUGUUAUAGUGAAACCCAAGCAUCUUCUCUAGAGUAAUGAUGACCGGAUGAUCUGGCCAACGGGGGGGGGGCAGUUUGUCUGAAUAAUAUUAAUUACGAGCAGUAGCGGUAACCAUACCUGACGUGAUUUUAUUUUGUUAUUUUUCACUGGGCGAUGUACCAGCACUGCGUUGGUGAAUGACCUGGUCCCCCUGGUCUAACGCAUGCACUCACUCACAGAGUGCGACCCCCAGUGGACUUUUUAGGAAUAGCAGUUUCUUUUAUAAAAAUGCAAUUACAUUACAGGUCAUUUACAUUGCAUUUUUAACCCAUGGUUUACAUCUUGCCCGGGGAACAAUAAGGGGCUAAGUGUCUUGCUCAGGGACACUUCCAGCGAACAGCCAUGAGUUUGACACAUGUGCUUUAAAGGUUUCACACUGCAUAAUGACCAGUGCUUAAUGCUUCUAUCACUAAGCAUUUUUUGUUAAUGUUGGAAAAAGCCAUUUUUGUACUGUGUUUUUACCUCCAGCGGAAGGUGACGGAAAACAUAAUAUGUGAGGUAAAUUCAGUCAAAAUUGAUCCGCUCUUUCGAAUUUUGCAUUGAAUAGGUAAAAAAAAAAUCCACGGGAAACACACUCAGAUUACCAUGGCAGCAACAGAAAUGCGUUGGCUUUUCAUUCUGCAGUGCUGAUGAGGGAGUGUGGGAGUGGGUGAGCAGAGAAAGUGAGCGGUCAGGCACUGGGACAGGUGGAAAGGUGUGGGUGCAUCUGCUGGAUGGAUGCAGAGCUGCAAAGCAGGGGGUAAGUGAGAAUGCGUCUGAAGAAGAUGUGAAUGAGGACGACUGUGACACUGGAAAUCACUCAGGUCCGUGCACCUUUUUGAUAGUUCGUUUUACCUCUGGCUGUUUUAGCCACUUGCCAGCAGUUUCUCUAUAAAGGUAGAUUUGUGUCUAUUAUGCAAACCAAAAAAUGUUUCGAGAGCAAAUUUCUUGCAAGCCAAAAUGUAUUAACUGAGAAUAAAUUAUUUGUUCGUUUUGCUUUUGAAACUAUUGUUUUUGCCUGCAAAACCAAAACCUUUGGUCCCGGAUCAAAAAGUUGUGCGAUAUAUGAGUUUGUCAUUUUCUUGUUCCUUUUGAUUAAAUGAUUACAUUCAAACAUUACAUUGAUAUUGCAUUUCUUUAAAUACAGCUGCACGACAUCUCCUGUCCCUGAUUUCAAGGGCAACACCUGAAGAACCCCAAGGACGAAGUUGGGUGAUGGAGAAAUCCUCAGUGCAAACUCAAACGGAUAGAAAUGCGCUCUUGCCUCGCCCCCGCCCCCCUCACCGACGCUGACCCCUAUCCGACGCCUAUCAUGUACUCCACUUAAUGGAAGAGUGGUAAGAAAAGAGCUGCGGUUUUCGGACAAUGCUUUUACCGUUAAUCACAGCUCAUUUGUGAGCAACAUGAGGAAUUAAGUGCGGCGGUUGACGCAAGUAAAGUUUCCCCCUUGUUGACCGCUGGGUUUAGCUCACGCGGUGGUUGGAGGACCCAGCACAGGUCUACCCUGAAGGCUUCAGGCUACAAGGAUACAGCCUAGCGACUUUGAGACACAGCUAAUAACACACCCUUUGUCUUCCCCGUUCAUAUCUGGAAGCAAUUAGAGUCCAGCGGCCAACAAAAAAAACAAGAAGCAUCGAUCAUCAUGGAAAGAGGGGAGAGGAGCAUAAUAAUAAUUGCAUCCUAUUAGACAUUCCAGAGAAAUUGUCAUAGCAUGAUAAUUAGUUUUAAUCAACCACCACACAGCGUUUGGCAUUGAGGCCAAAAAGUUCAGUUUUGGUCUCAUCUGGACAGAGCACCUUCUUCCACAUGUUUGCGGAAAACUCCAAACAGGAUUUCUUAUGGUUCUUUUAAUAGCGGCUUUUUUCUUGGCACUCUUCUAUUAAGGCCAGAUUUUGGGAAUACACUUUUGUCCUGUGGACAGAUUCUGUCCACCUCCAGAGUUACCAUGCUAGAACAUCAGUGUCCUCAGGAUAAAUGUGACCUUUGGCGAUGAUAGAGGAAAUUACUCAAAUGUACAGCUUGAGAGGAUACAAAUAUUGUAUUUCAAGUGAAAAACGUUUCUCUGCCACUGGAGACAACCUGUCCAAACAUUCCUUUCUUCUAUUAAAUUAUAUUCCAGUAUCACUAAAAUCUUAUCUACAUAUUGAGGGACAUGUUUAUGCUCCCAGUUCACGGUCACAGUGUUCAACAGUUUUAAAACUUAAAACCCUUCUCCCAAAACAGGCUUUAGCAGACCAGUGUUAUUUGGCGGGAAGUACAUUUUCUGUAACAGUGUCAUGUUUGUGCUUCCAACAUGCUAAAGAGCAGAGAGUCUGUUGCAAUGGUUCCCAACCCAAUUGCAGCCUGACGAUGUGCAUCCGUCUACGGCUGCAGAGGUCACACUGAGGGUCACAUGGAAGGUAUAGCAAUGAAGAAAUUACCAUGAUUUCAUUUCUUUAUUGUUCAUGUGUAGUGAUAAAAAUAGUAUUUUAUAUCUAAAAAAUAUAUUUCGGCCAGUGGCCUGUUUUUCAACUUGGUUUUUCACUCUCGGUUUCCCAAUUGAAUAACGGGAAAACAAAUAGUUUCUGGUUUUCGGUUUAUCAAUUGAAAAUAAAGUUGUAAGUUUGUCUCGUUUUUUUGGUUCUAAACGAGAAAACUGUGGUUUCAAUUUAUGUUUUUUAUAGUAAAAGGGACUAUCAAAUAGUGCCGGGAAAUUCAAAUUGUUUUACUGACUCAGUUCUUUGAAUCUCGUUC